UCGAAACCCUAAAAAAUUCACUUAAGGAAGCUUUGUCAUAGUUCCAGUGUUUCGUCUUCUUUGAUCUUUGUGCGAGGACAAAAAAUUGCUGCAUCCUCGGGAACCCAGGGGUAAACUUCUGGGCUCGUUUCUCGCAUAUCUUUUCAAAUUGUGAUGUAGGUUACACGCUGUAAUGCUGAGAAAACUGCUCCGUGUAAUCGCGCGCGCCUUUACUCAUCCAUGCAAGAAUCAGCACAUUGGUUGUCAUUAACAUAGAACAGUUCAGUUUUAAAACUUUUCAAGCGCAUACAGUGAGAAUAGAGUGCGUUACGUGAUGAGUUUCGUGACUGUCACAUCGAGGGUAAGCUCAGCUAACCAGCUUGAGUAAGAGUAAAUACCAUUGAACACUGAAAUAAUUCAAGAAUCAAUAUCGAUAGAUCUAUAGACACGGUGUCUUUAUUUUGUCUUCAACUAAAAUUUAAACUGACAAAGACCUUGACACGCACCAUGGGAGAUCGACUCAAAUCUGAGUCAUUUACGUAACAUAACCUGUCAUGCUUUUCCUACGCGUGUGGACAAAGCCAUGAAGCCUAAAUACUCAGUGGGAUAGACUGAACUCUCAUGUGGAUGGACCAUGCAUUAGAUAAUUGAUGGGGGAAGGGGUGGGGUAGCAGGAAUCCAUUCUGCUAGAUAUUUAUUUUUUUGUAACCCUGGCAUGCAAUUGUAUUGUGUUUGCUCGAUAUUUCUUUAGUGAAAGUAUAGAUACUGCGCGAUAUUGCAAUUGCUUUUCGUAUGCUUGCUCGAUAAAUUUUUUGCCUGUGGAUUUGCGCAACCUCCCGCCCCCCUUCUCCCCCAUCAAGACCUAAUGGUCCGUCACGCUAAUCAUAAUAUUGAAGCUGCCAGUUUUCUCGUGCGUUUCUUGGGGGUGGGGUGGGUAUGUCACGUAUUAAGGGGCGUUCUCAUGUUAAGGCUAGAGGCGUACGUGCCUACUCCAUCAGCCACAGAUGGAAAAGAAGUUGUACAAAAAACGGUGUCAAAGUGCAAAAUUAAACACGACUUUAAAGCCCA
Molecule: long non-coding RNA, 1047 nt
Organism: Actinia tenebrosa (Australian red waratah sea anemone)
Lineage: Eukaryota; Metazoa; Cnidaria; Anthozoa; Actiniaria; Actiniidae
Source: RefSeq, a predicted model, not a curated record